AUCACAAAACCUAAAGGAUCCCAUACAAUGUGGUUUGCUAGAAAUCUCUACAGAUGUGUUGGUCAGCCAGCCAUCUUGAAGGAUUACAGCAUAGAAUUAAUGAAGCUAAAGUCUUAGGGAACAAUUGUAUUCCAUUACAAUCAUAUGCUACAAAUUGUUCACCUCUUCCCCAAAUAAGAAACAUCCCUUCAGUUCUCAGUUAUUUGACAACACAAGAAGGGCUGAUGUAAAAUUUUUGAAGGAUUGUCCUUUUCUCCUCUCUUUGAUCACUGUGUGUGAAAAUGACAUCUGUUCCCUGAAAGAGAAAUGACAGAAUCUGAAUGCAGACUUCAAUGCAGAAUGCAGAAUCAAUAUCCAUUGAUUCUGUUUAGGGGAAAAAUGACACUUUCAGAAGCUCAGCAUUGAUUUCUGGAACCCAUACUAUGCAAGUCAAACUGGACUCAUUCAUUGUAAUCUACAGAGACCUUUUAGCAUUUUGCCACUGGCCCAGUUCCACUCCGUGACAAGUGAUCUAAAUAAAGCAAAAUAACAAAGCAAAGACUUUAUGAUUCUGCAAAAUUGCAAAACCCAACACACACUCACACACACACACACACACACACAUCAACUUUUCAGACUCCAGUCUUCAGCAUUAAUUGACUUUGAUGGACUUUGCAUGGAUUGUUUUUCAUCACCAACUGUUCUCCAAUCGAUCAACAUCCUUCUUGAGUUGGGGUACCCAGAAAUGAAAAUAUAGUAUGAAAAUGGAGGAUUUUCCUGGCACUAUCAACCCCUGUGUCCUAUAGACUCUGCCUUUUGAGUCAACCUAAGAUGACACUGCCUUUCUGGCUGAAAAUUUGAGAAACUAGCAAUUGCUUUCAACAUACAUUUUCUUGAAAUUUGGGCAAUGUUUCUUCACGAGGAAGGAGUUAAUUUUCCCAGUUGGAAUUCUCAGAGUUCACAUUCAACAGCCCAUGCAAAAGCUAAUGCAAGAGGUAUUAAAAUAGCCCAAAGUAAUUUCGUUAGGCAAUGAACCACGAUGUCUUCCCCGUUUGUUCUUGCUGAGAACACACUUGCCAGUUCACUUGGCAUCCAUCACUUUUAUUUUGUAUCAGAUACUCAUUGUCUAAAGUAAUAACAGAUAAGUGGGCCAAAGAAUAGAGGACUGCUGUGAACUGCUGACAUACUGAAGAAUGGGACAUUAGGUCCAAUUGUAUGGCGAGCCAAGGUACCCACUUCAAGCAUCAAAUUCUUUGCAGUAAGUAUGCUACUGCCCCCACACUUCUAUACAAGAGAGAGAGGGCUUAACAAUGGAGGGCUUAUAUCGGUUGAUCAAUGGCAUGGGCAGAGAUGGGAUGGCCUGUAUUUCAAUCAUGCCAUUACAUAGUUAGAAAUGUGAUGCUUGAGAGUUUUCUUCCAAAGAUCAAAAUAUGCUGGACUGUAUCCAAAUGAAAGAGAAAUUUUGAAGUUCCUUUUAAAAAUAUGUGAAUUGCUUUAGAAGCAGGGUUUUAUUUUUCUCACUGCCUUGUUUGUCUCAUCUUUAAAAUGUCAAUUUUGGACUAGGUCAGGAAUUCUUCUGUGUGUGUAUGUGUGUGUGUAUUUGUGUAUGUGCGUGUAUGUGUGUGCGUGUUAAGGAGUCCUUUGGCAUCCUGGUAAAGUCUAUGGAGCCCUUUUCAGAAUAAUGUUUUUAAAUGCAUAAAACAUUUAAAUGCACAAAAUAAA
This 1701-nucleotide long non-coding RNA is filed under the name Monodelphis domestica (gray short-tailed opossum). RNAcentral describes it as "lncRNA (ENSMODG00000051158.1)". Lineage: Eukaryota; Metazoa; Chordata; Mammalia; Didelphimorphia; Didelphidae. The record is from RNAcentral.